GACGAACGCUGGCGGCGUGCUUAACACAUGCAAGUCGAACGGAAAGGCCUCUUUCUGGGGGUUCUCGAGUGGCGAACGGGUGGGUAACACAUGCGUAACCUGCCCUUCACUUUGGGUUAACUUCAGUCAGCUAGGGCGAGUACCUGCUAGGAGAUCCUUCUGCAUGGUGGGGGUUGGUAAGUUUCGGCGGUUGGGGGUGGACUCGCGACUUAUCAGCUUAUUGUUGGGGUGGUGGCUUACCAAGGCUUUGACGGGUCGCCGGACUGAGAGAGUGAGCGGCCGCACUGGGUCUGAGAGACGGCAGAGAUUGCUACUGGAGGCAGCAGGGGGGAAGAUUGCACAAGCGGUGGAAGGCGGAUGCAGCAACGCCGUGGGUGGGAAGACGGUCUUCGGGGUGUAAAACGCAUGUGCUCAUGACGAAGCUUUGUGUGACGGUAGUGGGUAAAGAAGCACCGGCUAACUACGUG
Molecule: ribosomal RNA, 467 nt
Filed under: uncultured bacterium
Lineage: Bacteria
Description: partial 16S ribosomal RNA
Rfam family: Bacterial small subunit ribosomal RNA
Source: RNAcentral